UUCCACAGCUACUGGUCUGCAGCUGUUCCUAUGGUGGCGGUUGUGGCAUUCCUCUGUGGGAAAGAAAUUGUUACACAGUUUAGCACCUCUUUCUGAGCAAAACAGAAAGUGGGCAUAUGUGUGACAAACACAA
Molossus molossus (Pallas's mastiff bat) is the source of this 133-nucleotide small nucleolar RNA. RefSeq annotates it as small nucleolar RNA SNORA41. The record is from RefSeq and is a predicted model, not a curated record. NCBI's taxonomy places the organism in Eukaryota, Metazoa, Chordata, Mammalia, Chiroptera, Molossidae. The transcript has a single exon.